RNAcentral lists this ribosomal RNA (461 nucleotides) under uncultured Desulfocapsa sp. RNAcentral describes it as "bacterial SSU rRNA". It matches the Rfam family "Bacterial small subunit ribosomal RNA", at positions 925 to 1382 of the family's 1533-position model. The record is from RNAcentral. Lineage: Bacteria; Pseudomonadati; Thermodesulfobacteriota; Desulfobulbia; Desulfobulbales; Desulfocapsaceae.
ACAAGCGGUGGAGCUAUGUGGUUCAAUUCGAUGCAACGCGAAGAACCUUACCUGGGCUUGAACCGCACCUGUAAACCUGUGGAAACACGGGUCCCUCCUUCGGGAGCAGGUGUAGAGGUGCUGCAUGGCUGUCGUCAGCUCGUGUCGUGAGAUGUUGGGUUAAGUCCCGCAACGAGCGCAACCCUUGUCUUUAGUUGCCAUCAUUCAGUUGGGCACUCUAAAGAGACUGCCGGUGUCAAACCGGGAGGAAGGUGGGGAUGACGUCAAGUCCUCAUGGCCUUUAUGACCAGGGCUACACACGUACUACAAUGGCCGGUACAAAGGGCAGCCACUUAGCGAUAAGGAGCCAAUCCCGUAAAACCGGUCUCAGUCCGGAUUGGAGUCUGCAACUCGACUCCAUGAAGUUGGAAUCGCUAGUAAUCGCAGAUCAGCACGCUGCGGUGAAUACGUUCCCGGGCCUU